GGGCAAUUAGCUCAAUGGUAGAGCGACUCGUUUACACCGAGUAGGCUGUAGGUUCGAUCCCUACAUUGCCCACCA
This 75-nucleotide transfer RNA is filed under the name Candidatus Jorgensenbacteria bacterium RIFCSPLOWO2_02_FULL_45_12. Its description in RNAcentral is "tRNA-Val". It matches the Rfam family "tRNA". From Rfam's summary of the family: Transfer RNA (tRNA) molecules are approximately 80 nucleotides in length. Their secondary structure includes four short double-helical elements and three loops (D, anti-codon, and T loops). The record is from RNAcentral. Lineage: Bacteria; Candidatus Joergenseniibacteriota. RNAcentral also lists the same sequence under 1 other name.